CCCCCCCUUUCGUGGUUACCGUUAUGCCAACAAAUACCCGGGGCUUGAUUUACAUGUAAAAUCAUGGGCGGAUCCAGCCAUGAUAAAGGGGGUUCCAACUACAUGUCUCCAUUAAAUAAGGGGUGUCGUUGCCGCUGGUUUUCUGUUACCCCACCCUUUUCAUAUAAUUUAGAUUUCAAAAGUGUAUACCUUAUUCAUAUAUUGUGUAGG
RNAcentral lists this long non-coding RNA (210 nucleotides) under Mytilus galloprovincialis (Mediterranean mussel). The record is from RNAcentral. Lineage: Eukaryota; Metazoa; Mollusca; Bivalvia; Mytilida; Mytilidae.